RNAcentral lists this ribosomal RNA (2905 nucleotides) under Yersinia aldovae. RNAcentral's name for it is "bacterial LSU rRNA". It matches the Rfam family "Bacterial large subunit ribosomal RNA". The record is from RNAcentral. Lineage: Bacteria; Pseudomonadati; Pseudomonadota; Gammaproteobacteria; Enterobacterales; Yersiniaceae.
UUAAGCGACUAAGCGUACACGGUGGAUGCCUAGGCAGUCAGAGGCGAUGAAGGGCGUGCUAAUCUGCGAAAAGCGUCGGUAAGGUGAUAUGAACCGUUAUAACCGACGAUACCCGAAUGGGGAAACCCAGUGCAAUUCGUUGCACUAUUGCAUGGUGAAUACAUAGCCAUGCAAGGCGAACCGGGGGAACUGAAACAUCUAAGUACCCCGAGGAAAAGAAAUCAACCGAGAUUCCCCCAGUAGCGGCGAGCGAACGGGGAACAGCCCAGAGUCUGAAUCAGUUUGUGUGUUAGUGGAAGCGUCUGGAAAGUCGCACGGUACAGGGUGAUAGUCCCGUACACCAAAACACGCAUUCUGUGAACUCGAUGAGUAGGGCGGGACACGUGACAUCCUGUCUGAAUAUGGGGGGACCAUCCUCCAAGGCUAAAUACUCCUGACUGACCGAUAGUGAACCAGUACCGUGAGGGAAAGGCGAAAAGAACCCCGGCGAGGGGAGUGAAAUAGAACCUGAAACCGUGUACGUACAAGCAGUGGGAGCCUACUAGUUGGGUGACUGCGUACCUUUUGUAUAAUGGGUCAGCGACUUAUAUUUUGUAGCAAGGUUAACCGAAUAGGGGAGCCGUAGGGAAACCGAGUCUUAACUGGGCGAAUAGUUGCAAGGUAUAGACCCGAAACCCGGUGAUCUAGCCAUGGGCAGGUUGAAGGUUGGGUAACACUAACUGGAGGACCGAACCGACUAAUGUUGAAAAAUUAGCGGAUGACUUGUGGCUGGGGGUGAAAGGCCAAUCAAACCGGGAGAUAGCUGGUUCUCCCCGAAAGCUAUUUAGGUAGCGCCUCGUGAACUCAUCUUCGGGGGUAGAGCACUGUUUCGGCUAGGGGGUCAUCCCGACUUACCAAACCGAUGCAAACUCCGAAUACCGAAGAAUGUUAUCACGGGAGACACACGGCGGGUGCUAACGUCCGUCGUGAAGAGGGAAACAACCCAGACCGCCAGCUAAGGUCCCAAAGUCAUGGUUAAGUGGGAAACGAUGUGGGAAGGCACAGACAGCCAGGAUGUUGGCUUAGAAGCAGCCAUCAUUUAAAGAAAGCGUAAUAGCUCACUGGUCGAGUCGGCCUGCGCGGAAGAUGUAACGGGGCUAAACCAUGCACCGAAGCUGCGGCAGCGACACUUAGGUGUUGUUGGGUAGGGGAGCGUUCUGUAAGCCGUUGAAGGUGACCUGUGAGGGUUGCUGGAGGUAUCAGAAGUGCGAAUGCUGACAUAAGUAACGAUAAUGCGGGUGAAAAACCCGCACGCCGGAAGACCAAGGGUUCCUGUCCAACGUUAAUCGGGGCAGGGUGAGUCGACCCCUAAGGCGAGGCCGAAAGGCGUAGUCGAUGGGAAACAGGUUAAUAUUCCUGUACUUGGUGUUACUGCGAAGGGGGGACGGAGAAGGCUAGGCUAGCCGGGCGACGGUUGUCCCGGUUUAAGCAUGUAGGCGGAGUGACUUGGUAAAUCCGGUUGCUUAUCAACGCUGAGGUGUGAUGACGAGCCACUACGGUGGUGAAGUAGUUGAUGCCAAGCUUCCAGGAAAAGCCUCUAAGCAUCAGGUAACAUUAAAUCGUACCCCAAACCGACACAGGUGGUCAGGUAGAGAAUACUCAGGCGCUUGAGAGAACUCGGGUGAAGGAACUAGGCAAAAUGGUGCCGUAACUUCGGGAGAAGGCACGCUGGCGUUAGGUAAUGGGACUUGCUCCCGGCGCCGAAGCCAGUCGCAGAUACCAGCUGGCUGCAACUGUUUAAUAAAAACACAGCACUGUGCAAACACGAAAGUGGACGUAUACGGUGUGACGCCUGCCCGGUGCUGGAAGGUUAAUUGAUGGGGUCAGCCUUACGGCGAAGCUCUUGAUCGAAGCCCCAGUAAACGGCGGCCGUAACUAUAACGGUCCUAAGGUAGCGAAAUUCCUUGUCGGGUAAGUUCCGACCUGCACGAAUGGCGUAAUGAUGGCCAGGCUGUCUCCACCCGAGACUCAGUGAAAUUGAACUCGCUGUGAAGAUGCAGUGUACCCGCGGCAAGACGGAAAGACCCCGUGAACCUUUACUAUAGCUUGACACUGAACAUUGAGCCUUGAUGUGUAGGAUAGGUGGGAGGCAUUGAAGUGUGGACGCCAGUCUGCAUGGAGCCAACCUUGAAAUACCACCCUUUAAUGUUUGAUGUUCUAACUCGGCCCCAUAAUCUGGGGUGAGGACAGUGUCUGGUGGGUAGUUUGACUGGGGCGGUCUCCUCCCAAAGAGUAACGGAGGAGCACGAAGGUUAGCUAAUCACGGUCGGACAUCGUGAGGUUAGUGCAAAGGCAUAAGCUAGCUUGACUGCGAGAGUGACGGCUCGAGCAGGUACGAAAGUAGGUCUUAGUGAUCCGGUGGUUCUGAAUGGAAGGGCCAUCGCUCAACGGAUAAAAGGUACUCCGGGGAUAACAGGCUGAUACCGCCCAAGAGUUCAUAUCGACGGCGGUGUUUGGCACCUCGAUGUCGGCUCAUCACAUCCUGGGGCUGAAGUAGGUCCCAAGGGUAUGGCUGUUCGCCAUUUAAAGUGGUACGCGAGCUGGGUUUAGAACGUCGUGAGACAGUUCGGUCCCUAUCUGCCGUGGGCGUUGGAAGAUUGAGAGGGGCUGCUCCUAGUACGAGAGGACCGGAGUGGACGAAUCACUGGUGUUCGGGUUGUCAUGCCAAUGGCAUUGCCCGGUAGCUAAAUUCGGAAGAGAUAACCGCUGAAAGCAUCUAAGCGGGAAACUUGCCUCGAGAUGAGUCUUCCCUGGGGCUUUAAGCCCCCUGAAGGAACGUUUAAGACUAAGACGUUGAUAGGCUGGGUGUGUAAGUGCAGCGAUGCAUUGAGCUAACCAGUACUAAUGAUCCGUGAGGCUUAACCUU